CUUUUCAAAGUAGGCAGCAGGCGCGCAAUUACCCAAUCCUGACUCAGGGAGGUAGUGACAAGAAAUAACAAUAAACCGGCUUAUGCCGGUUUAAUUGGAAUGAGUACAAUUUAAACAUCUUAACGAGGAACAAUUGGAGGGCAAGUCUGGUGCCAGCAGCCGCGGCAAUUCCAGCUCCAAUAGCGUAUACUAAAGUUGUUGCAGUUAAAAAGCUCGUAGUUGGAUUUCUGUGGGGACGGAGCGGCCGGCCGCACAUCGCGGUUCGAGCUAGCGCUUUCCCUACAUCCUGCCGCGAACCGUGCUACCAUUAGUUUGGUGGCGCCGGGGAUCGGCUCGAUUACUUUGAGAAAAAUAGAGUGUUCAAAGCAGGCCACAUGCCUUGAAUAAGUUAGCAUGGAAUAAUAACUAAGGACUUCGGUUCUAUUUUGUUGGUGUUCGGGACUGAAGUAAUGAUUGAUAGGGACAGUUGGGGCGGUCUGUAUUCCAAAGCGAGAGGUGAAAUUCUUAGACCUUCGGAAGACAAACAGCUGCGAAAGCGUUCCGCAAGGAUGUUCCCUUUGAUCAAGAACGAAAGUUGGGGGAUCGAAGACGAUCAGAUACCGUCGUAGUCUCAACUAUAAACUAUACCAGCUAGGGAUCGGCCAACGUUAUUUUAUACCGACUUGGUCGGCACCUUAUGAGAAAUCAAAGCAUCUGGGUUCCGGGGGGAGUAUGGUCGCAAGGCUGAAACUUAAAGGAAUUGACGGAAGGGCACCACCAGCCGUGGAGCCUGUGGCUUAAUUUGACUCAACACGGGAAAACUUACCAGGUCCAGACAUAGUAAGGAUUGACAGAUUGAUAGCUCUUUCUUGAUUCUGUGGGUGGUGGUGCAUGGCCGUUCUUAGUUGGUGGAGUGAUUUGUCUGGUUAAUUCCGAUAACGAACGAGACCCCAGCCUGCUAAAUAGCGCGCGUGAGCUUUGCUCGCGGCGAGCUUCUUAGAGGGACUAUGAUGCGCGAUAGCACAUGGAAGUUUGGGGCAAUAACAGGUCUGUGAUGCCCUUAGAUGUUCUGGGCCGCACACGGGCUACACUGGCGCCUGCAACGAGCAUAUCAGCUGGUCCGAGAGGAUCUUGGCUAAUCUUUUGAACCGGCGCCGUGCUUGGGAUUGACCUUUGCAAUUGUUGGUCAUGCAACGAGGAAUGCCUUGUAAACGCGAGUCAUCAGCUCGCAUUGAAUACGUCCCUGCCCUUUGUACACACCGCCCGUCGCUCCUACCGAUGAAUGUUCCGAUGAAAUUUUCGGAGAGUGCCUGUGAACUUGGCUCUGCCUUGCGAACGGGAAGCUCAAAGUCACCUAAAUCGAAACUUUAGGG
This 1352-nucleotide ribosomal RNA is filed under the name uncultured marine eukaryote. Its description in RNAcentral is "SSU rRNA". It matches the Rfam family "Eukaryotic small subunit ribosomal RNA", at positions 411 to 1778 of the family's 1831-position model. The record is from RNAcentral.